GUUUGAUCCUGGCUCAGGACGAACGCUGGCGGCGUGCUUAACACAUGCAAGUCGAACGGAAAGGCCCUGCUUUUGUGGGGUGCUCGAGUGGCGAACGGGUGAGUAACACGUGAGUAACCUGCCCUUGACUUUGGGAUAACUUCAGGAAACUGGGGCUAAUACCGGAUAGGAGCUCCUGCUGCAUGGUGGGGGUUGGAAAGUUUCGGCGGUUGGGGAUGGACUCGCGGCUUAUCAGCUUGUUGGUGGGGUAGUGGCUUACCAAGGCUUUGACGGGUAGCCGGCCUGAGAGGGUGACCGGCCACAUUGGGACUGAGAUACGGCCCAGACUCCUACGGGAGGCAGCAGUGGGGAAUAUUGCGCAAUGGGCGAAAGCCUGACGCAGCGACGCCGCGUGGGGGAUGAAGGCCUUCGGGUUGUAAACCCCUUUCGGCAGGGACGAAGCGAAAGUGACGGUACCUGCAGAAGAAGCACCGGCUAACUACGUGCCAGCAGCCGCGGUGAUACGUAGGGUGCGAGCGUUGUCCGGAUUUAUUGGGCGUAAAGGGCUCGUAGGUGGUUGAUCGCGUCGGAAGUGUAAUCUUGGGGCUUAACCCUGAGCGUGCUUUCGAUACGGGUUGACUUGAGGAAGGUAGGGGAGAAUGGAAUUCCUGGUGGAGCGGUGGAAUGCGCAGAUAUCAGGAGGAACACCAGUGGCGAAGGCGGUUCUCUGGGCCUUUCCUGACGCUGAGGAGCGAAAGCGUGGGGAGCGAACAGGCUUAGAUACCCUGGUAGUCCACGCUGUAAACGGUGGGUACUAGGUGUGGGGUCCAUUCCACGGGUUCCGUGCCGUAGCUAACGCUUUAAGUACCCCGCCUGGGGAGUACGGCCGCAAGGCUAAAACUCAAAGGAAUUGACGGGGCCCCGCACAAGCGGCGGAGCAUGCGGAUUAAUUCGAUGCAACGCGUAGAACCUUACCUGGGUUUGACAUGGAUCGGGAGUGCUCAGAGAUGGGUGUGCCUCUUUUGGGGUCGGUUCACAGGUGGUGCAUGGCUGUCGUCAGCUCGUGU
RNAcentral lists this ribosomal RNA (1046 nucleotides) under uncultured soil bacterium. RNAcentral describes it as "bacterial SSU rRNA". It matches the Rfam family "Bacterial small subunit ribosomal RNA", at positions 11 to 1065 of the family's 1533-position model. The record is from RNAcentral.